RNAcentral lists this ribosomal RNA (492 nucleotides) under uncultured bacterium. RNAcentral describes it as "partial 16S ribosomal RNA". It matches the Rfam family "Bacterial small subunit ribosomal RNA", at positions 29 to 507 of the family's 1533-position model. The record is from RNAcentral.
AGUGAACGCUGGCGGUAGGCCUAACACAUGCAAGUCGAACGGCAGCACAGUAAGAGCUUGCUCUUACGGGUGGCGAGUGGCGGACGGGUGAGGAAUACAUCGGAAUCUACUUUUUCGUGGGGGAUAACGUAGGGAAACUUACGCUAAUACCGCAUACGACCUACGGGUGAAAGCAGGGGAUCUUCGGACCUUGCGCGAUUGAAUGAGCCGAUGUCGGAUUAGCUAGUUGGCGGGGUAAAGGCCCACCAAGGCGACGAUCCGUAGCUGGUCUGAGAGGAUGAUCAGCCACACUGGAACUGAGACACGGUCCAGACUCCUACGGGAGGCAGCAGUGGGGAAUAUUGGACAAAGGGCGCAAGCCAGAUCCAGCCAUACCGCGUGGGUGAAGAAGGCCUUCGGGUUGUAAAGCCCUUUUGUUGGGAAAGAAAAGCAGCAGGUUAAUACCCCGCUGUUCUGACGGUACCCAAAGAAUAAGCACCGGCUAACUUCGUG